GCCAGUGUGGUGUAGUGGUUUGAGUGUUGGACUACAACUCUGGAGACCAGGGUUUGAUUCCCAGCUUGGCCA
This 72-nucleotide transfer RNA is filed under the name Phrynosoma platyrhinos (Desert horned lizard). RNAcentral describes it as "tRNA-OTHER". Lineage: Eukaryota; Metazoa; Chordata; Lepidosauria; Squamata; Phrynosomatidae. The record is from RNAcentral.